AUCUCUCUUCCUCCUUUACUCGAUUAAAAAAAAAAAACAUUCAGCUCUUAAAAAAAAAAUUCCGGCGAAACUUACUCUCCACACUCGCCGGCGCAUUCUUUGCCAUCUCCGGGAUCAUCUCCGUUUUCGUCGUCGCCGGCGAUUUCUUUGCCUUCUCUGUGGUCGGCGCCAUCGUGUCCAAAGUCACUUGAAUCUUCUUCAAUCACCGUCGUGACCACUCAUCUCAACCUCCCUUCCUUCUCCGCCACCAAAACCGCCAAGGUUUUUUAUCUAUAUUAUAUCUGUGGUGUAGCUUCUUAAUGGAAACCGAUGAAGGCAUCACGAACAUUAAUAAGGAGUAUCCGAAGCGCUUAUUCAGACAUGGUAGAGAGCCUCUUGUUGGAAAAGUCAACAACUUCUGCAAAACAGCUCUCCUCAAGAGAAUCAAGAAAGCUAUGCCACUAGAGUAUAAGGAAGUGAAGAGUGAUCCUCUGUUUGCACAUGUCUUUGCCAUAUUUGAAAACCGUUUAGGAUACUCUGUUUGCAUAGCUUACUGUCUAGACAGUUGGUAACUAGGAAGAAACAUGAACUCUGGUUUGUGUUUGGAAACAAGCCUCUUCGAUUUUCUAUGCAAAUACCAUGAGAUGCCAAUGGAUAGAUUUUUUCAAGCGAUUUAGUGAUCGAGAAAUGCCUAUCUGACACAAAAGCUAAGUCUUCUUCAUCCGCUAUGAGUUUCUUAAGUUGUAUAAAAAACCAUUGCCAUGAAGAAUCAUUCUCGGAAUCAGCAACUCCAAAUGCAAUUGGAUACAAAUUGGAGUUACCAUCUACUGCUGUAGCUACCAACAUAACUCCUUUGUAUUUGCUUUUCAAAAACGUACCGUCAACCACAAUCACUUUCCGAAUAGGCUUGUAAAACCCUCUAAUAGACUGACCGAAAGAUAUAAAUAGAUAUUUGAAUCUAUUCUCACCAUC
Molecule: long non-coding RNA, 951 nt
Filed under: Arabidopsis thaliana (thale cress)
Lineage: Eukaryota; Viridiplantae; Streptophyta; Magnoliopsida; Brassicales; Brassicaceae
Description: potential natural antisense gene, locus overlaps with AT3G29642 (AT3G29644)
Source: RNAcentral